GCUCAGGAUGAACGCUAGCUACAGGCUUAACACAUGCAAGUCGAGGGGUAGCAGGGUAGCAAUACCGCUGACGACCGGCGCACGGGUGAGUAACACGUAUCCAACCUUCCCAUAACUCAGGGAUAGCCUUUCGAAAGAAAGAUUAAUACCUGAUAGUACUUAAGAAAGGCAUCUUUUUUAAGUUAAAGAUUUAUUGGUUAUGGAUGGGGAUGCGUUCCAUUAGAUAGUUGGUGAGGUAACGGCUCACCAAGUCUUCGAUGGAUAGGGGUUCUGAGAGGAAGGUCCCCCACAUUGGUACUGAGACACGGACCAAACUCCUACGGGAGGCAGCAGUGAGGAAUAUUGGUCAAUGGGCGAGAGCCUGAACCAGCCAAGUA
RNAcentral lists this ribosomal RNA (377 nucleotides) under uncultured Bacteroidales bacterium. RNAcentral describes it as "bacterial SSU rRNA". It matches the Rfam family "Bacterial small subunit ribosomal RNA", at positions 22 to 398 of the family's 1533-position model. Lineage: Bacteria; Pseudomonadati; Bacteroidota; Bacteroidia; Bacteroidales. The record is from RNAcentral.